RNAcentral lists this ribosomal RNA (635 nucleotides) under Colwellia sp. UST050418-520. Its description in RNAcentral is "bacterial SSU rRNA". It matches the Rfam family "Bacterial small subunit ribosomal RNA", at positions 65 to 689 of the family's 1533-position model. The record is from RNAcentral. Lineage: Bacteria; Pseudomonadati; Pseudomonadota; Gammaproteobacteria; Alteromonadales; Colwelliaceae.
AGCGGUAACAGAAAGUAGCUUGCUACUUUGCUGACGAGCGGCGGACGGGUGAGUAAUGCUUGGGAAUAUGCCUUAUGGUGGGGGACAACAGUUGGAAACGACUGCUAAUACCGCAUAACGUCUACGGACCAAAGGGGGGGAUCUUCGGACCUCUCGCCAUUUGAUUAGCCCAAGUGAGAUUAGCUAGUUGGUAAGGUAAUGGCUUACCAAGGCGACGAUCUCUAGCUGGUUUGAGAGGAUGAUCAGCCACACUGGGACUGAGACACGGCCCAGACUCCUACGGGAGGCAGCAGUGGGGAAUAUUGCACAAUGGGCGAAAGCCUGAUGCAGCCAUGCCGCGUGUGUGAAGAAGGCCUUCGGGUUGUAAAGCACUUUCAGUUGUGAGGAAAGGGGUGUAGUUAAUAGCUGCAUCCUGUGACGUUAGCAACAGAAGAAGCACCGGCUAACUUCGUGCCAGCAGCCGCGGUAAUACGAGGGGUGCAAGCGUUAAUCGGAAUUACUGGGCGUAAAGCGUUCGUAGGCGGUUUGUUAAGCAAGAUGUGAACAGCCCCGGGCUCAACCUGGGAACUGCAUUUUGAACUGGCAAACUAAGUACUGUACAGGGUGGUGGAAUUUCCAGUGUAGCGGUGAAAUGC